AUUGAACGCUGGCGGCAUGCCUUACACAUGCAAGUCGAACGGUAACGCGGGGCAACCUGGCGACGAGUGGCGAACGGGUGAGUAAUGUAUCGGAACGUGCCCAGUUGUGGGGGAUAACUGCUCGAAAGAGCAGCUAAUACCGCAUACGACCUGAGGGUGAAAGCGGGGGAUCGCAAGACCUCGCGCAAUUGGAGCGGCCGAUAUCAGAUUAGGUAGUUGGUGGGGUAAAGGCUCACCAAGCCAACGAUCUGUAGCUGGUCUGAGAGGACGACCAGCCACACUGGGACUGAGACACGGCCCAGACUCCUACGGGAGGCAGCAGUGGGGAAUUUUGGACAAUGGACGCAAGUCUGAUCCAGCCAUGCCGCGUGCGGGAAGAAGGCCUUCGGGUUGUAAACCGCUUUUGUCAGGGAAGAAACGCUCUGGGUUAAUACCUCGGGGUAAUGACGGUACCUGAAGAAUAAGCACCGGCUAACUACGUGCCAGCAGCCGCCGUAA
This 498-nucleotide ribosomal RNA is filed under the name uncultured bacterium. Its description in RNAcentral is "partial 16S ribosomal RNA". It matches the Rfam family "Bacterial small subunit ribosomal RNA", at positions 30 to 523 of the family's 1533-position model. The record is from RNAcentral.